RNAcentral lists this microRNA precursor (80 nucleotides) under Bombyx mori (domestic silkworm). RNAcentral's name for it is "mir-2807 microRNA precursor family". It matches the Rfam family "mir-2807 microRNA precursor family". Lineage: Eukaryota; Metazoa; Arthropoda; Insecta; Lepidoptera; Bombycidae. The record is from Rfam by way of RNAcentral.
UUCACUAAAAUUUGUAUGGAGUUGGAACGUUUGCCUACGUUUGCCGCUAGGGGCGCUGUUCUCCAUACAAAUUUUAGUUA